Molecule: long non-coding RNA, 1250 nt
Organism: Pongo pygmaeus (Bornean orangutan)
Lineage: Eukaryota; Metazoa; Chordata; Mammalia; Primates; Hominidae
Exons: 3
Source: RefSeq, a predicted model, not a curated record
CUGGACCCUCAGGACUUUGAAAAAUUUGCUUUCACUGUUCCAACCCUUAACAACAUCGCUCCUGCAGCACGUUACCGUUGGAAAGUCCUACCUCAAGGAAAAGGACUACAGCCGGUGUGGGUCCCCUCCCGACAAUUAAAACUGCACCAUAACUCCAAAGAUGAAAUGCUCCCAGAAGCAAAAGGACUGCCAGACUUCCCAAAGAAACCUACAAAGGGACCUUUUAUAGUGACUUCAGUUUUGUGGAAUAAUUGUAAUGCUCCCAAGGCCGUUGUGCUCCAAAGUCUAGCCACAGUCUGCAGAUGCCUCCAAGGAGUCCGAAACCAAGUCUGAAGUCAACAACAAGCAAUGAUGGCGAUGGCAGUCCUAGUUAAUAAAAAGGGGGGAGAUGUGGGCGGCAAGCCACCCAGGUGCCGAGGCAAGAGACUGAGGACAAGAGCUGUUCCAGUAUAAUAAAAUAUAAAACAAGAAUAGUUAUACCAGAUAUAGAUCUUAGAUAUGAUUAUAUAUGAAUAUCAUUAAACAUUAGUUUGUAGCAAUUACUCUUUAUUCCAAUAUUAUAAUGAUCCUCGCUCUAUAAUCAUAACCUAGGAAAAACCAAGCCAUACAGAGAUAGGAGCUGAGGGGACAUAGUGAGGAGUGACCAGAAGACAAGAGUGCGAGCCUUCUGUUAUGCCCAGACAGUGCCACCAGAGGGCUCCUUGGUCUAGCGGUAAUGCCAUCGUCUGGGAAGAUGCCCGUUGCCAGGUGGACUGUGGUCUAGCGGUAGCCUCAGUGUCAAGGAAAAACACCGGCUAAUUAGCAGACCGGGAAUGGGAGUCUCCCUUUCCCUGGGGCGCGGUGGUUUAGAGAAGACUCUACUCCUCCACCUCUUGUGGAGGGCCUGACAUUAGUCAGGCUUGCCUGCAGUUAUCCGGAGGCCUAACCAACUCCCUGUGAUGCUGUGCUUCAGUGGUCACACUCCUAGUCCACCUUCAUGUUCCAUCCUGUACACGUGGCUCUGCCUUCUAGAUAGCAGUAGCAAAAUUAGUGAAAGUACUGAAAGUCUCUAAUAAGCAGAAAUAAUGGCGUAAGCUGUUUCUCUGUCUCCUCUCUCUCUCUGCCUCGGCUGCCAGGCAGGGAAGGGCCCCCUGUCCAGUGGACACAUGACCCACGUGGCCUUACCUAUGAUUGGAGAUGGCUCACUCUUCUUAUCCUGCCCCUUUGUCUUGUAUCCAAUAAAUAUCAGUACAGCCUGGCAUUUGGGGCCA